AUCUGGUGGCGACCGGCGCAAGGGUGCGUAACGCGUGAGCAACAUGCCCGUAUCAGGGGAAUAAUCCAGGGAAACUUGGUCUAAUACCCCAUAGUAAAUAUUAAAGGCAUCUUUAAUAUUUNNNNGCUUUGGUGGAUACGGAUUGGCUCGCGUGACAUUAGCUAGAUGGUAAGGUAACGGCUUACCAUGGCUACGAUGUCUAGGGGUUCUGAGAGGAAGAUCCCCCACACUGGAACUGAGACACGGUCCAGACUCCUACGGGAGGCAGCAGUGAGGAAUAUUGGACAAUGGAUGGAAAUCUGAUCCAGCCAUGCCGCGUGCAGGAAGACGGCCCUAUGGGUUGUAAACUGCUUUUAUAUGGGAGCAAUAAGGCCUACGUGUAGGUUGAUGAGAGUACCAUAUGAAUAAGCACCGGCUAACUCCGUGCCAGCAGCCGCGGUAAUACGGAGGGUGCAAGCGUUAUCCGGAUUUAUUGGGUUUAAAGGGUGCGUAGGCGGUUUGAUAAGUCAGCGGUGAAAUAUUUCAGCUUAACUGGAAGGGUGCCGUUGAUACUGUCAGGCUUGAAUUUAGUUGCUGUGGGUGGAAUGUGUGGUGUAGCGGUGAAAUGCAUAGAUAUCACACAGAAUAUCGAUUGCGAAGGCAGCUCACAAAGCUAAAAUUGACGCUGAUGCACGAAAGUGUGGGGAUCAAACAGGAUUAGAUACCCUGGUAGUCCACACUGUAAACGAUGAUAACUCGCUGUCGGCGAUACAUAGUCGGUGGCCAAGCGAAAGCGAUAAGUUUUCCACCUGGGGAGUACGACCGCAAGGUUGAAACUCAAAGGAAUUGACGGGGGCCCGCACAAGCGGAGGAACAUGUGGUUUAAUUCGAUGAUACGCGAGGAACCUUACCCGGGCUCGAACGGUGCAUGAAUGAU
RNAcentral lists this ribosomal RNA (916 nucleotides) under uncultured bacterium. RNAcentral's name for it is "bacterial SSU rRNA". It matches the Rfam family "Bacterial small subunit ribosomal RNA", at positions 83 to 999 of the family's 1533-position model. The record is from RNAcentral.